RNAcentral lists this ribosomal RNA (423 nucleotides) under uncultured bacterium. RNAcentral's name for it is "bacterial SSU rRNA". It matches the Rfam family "Bacterial small subunit ribosomal RNA", at positions 917 to 1341 of the family's 1533-position model. The record is from RNAcentral.
GGGCCCGCACAAGCGGUGGAACAUGUGGUUUAAUUCGACGCAACGCGCAAAACCUUACCUGGAUUUGACAUCCCGGGCUCACCUCAGAGAUGAGGUUUUCUCUUCGGAGACCCGGUGACAGGUGCUGCAUGGCUGUCGUCAGCUCGUGUCGUGAGAUGUUGGGUUAAGUCCCGCAACGAGCGCAACCCUUGUCCCUAGUUGCCAGCAUUGAGUUGGGCACUCUAGGGAGACUGCCGGUGAUAAGCCGGAGGAAGGUGGGGAUGACGUCAAGUCCUCAUGGCCUUUAUGUCCAGGGCUACACACGUGUUACAAUGGGGGUGACAAAGAGUGGCCAAGCUGCGAAGCUGCGCAAAUCUCAAAAAAACCCUCUCAGUUCGGAUCGCAGUCUGCAACUCGACUGCGUGAAGUUGGAAUCGCUAGUAA